UGAUUUCGAGAGUUUUGUUACAGAUCUAUGGGUGAAUUUUUUGGGUUCAUGUUUAUAAUUGUGUUAAAUACAUGUUGUAAAUUUGAGCUUGAUCUAACGGUUGAACUAAGAGAUAUUGAGGUUUAAGUGAGUCAAGGUCUUAGAAAGUAGAAUUUUAGGUCCAAUGAGGAUUUUUAAGAUUUCAUGCAAUCUACUGGUUGGAUUGGAGUAAAACUUAUGUGAGAGGAUAUUAUACUUGUUUUUCUAUGUCCUUGAGAAAUUUGAAACCAAUCGAAUGGCACAAAGAAGAGAAAUUGGCUCUGGAAGGUUGGCAACAAGUUUGGAGAAGGAGGCUGACUAACAUCCGAAUACAUUUUUGAGGUUUUCGUCAAUUUGGUAACUCCGAUCCUUUUCAAAAAAAAUUUACUUGUUUUGAACUUGAUUUUUAAGAAGUGUACAAAUUUUAAAUUGAGAUCAACGAUUUAUUCAUUAGAUAUUGAGGUUUAAAUCUGUUAUAGGAAUUACUAGGAUUUGGAUUAGGGUUUGGCUAGGGUUCGGUUUAGGAUUUGGAUUAGGGUUUGGAUUAGGGUUUAGGAUUUGGUUAGGAUUUGAUUUAGGAUUUGGAUUAGGAUUUAGUUAGGGUUUGAUUUAAGGUUUGAUUUAGGAUUUAGAAUUUGGAUUAGAGUUUAGGGUUGGAUUAGGGUUUGAUUUAGGGUUUGAUUUAGGGUUUAGGAUUUGGAAUAGGAUUUAAUUUAAGAUUUGUUUAGGAUUUGACUUAGGGUUUAGGAAUUAUUAGGGUUUAAGAUUUAAUUAGGUUUGGUCUAAAGUUGAAUGAAAUUCAAUAGGGUUUUAACUAGAAUUAAAUUAAGGUUGAAUUGACAUAUAUUUGAGUAAAAUUUGUGAUCAUUCUAAUAUUUCUUUAAGAAUUUUAUUGUUUGUUUGAAAUUUCUUUGAGUUGUUUUGAAUUUGAUUAUGUUUUUUUAUCAUUAUUAUAGUCUAAUUAGAGCAUUGUUAGUAUUCUAUUUAGGAUUUUGUUAU
This 1017-nucleotide long non-coding RNA is filed under the name Physcomitrium patens. Its description in RNAcentral is "long non-coding RNA (PPAT_LNC000960)". Lineage: Eukaryota; Viridiplantae; Streptophyta; Bryopsida; Funariales; Funariaceae. The record is from RNAcentral.